AACCAGACGUUUUUAGUCACAAUGGAUGCA
This 30-nucleotide non-coding RNA is filed under the name Homo sapiens (human). Lineage: Eukaryota; Metazoa; Chordata; Mammalia; Primates; Hominidae. The record is from RNAcentral.